GCCAGGGUAGUGUAGCGGUCAGCAUUCGGGACUGUGGAUCCCGCAGCCCGGGUUCGAAUCCCGGCCCUGGCCCCA
Molecule: transfer RNA, 75 nt
Filed under: Hadesarchaea archaeon
Lineage: Archaea; Methanobacteriati; Hadarchaeota (SeqCode); Hadarchaeia (SeqCode)
Also listed under: 1 other name
Description: tRNA-His
Rfam family: tRNA
About the family: Transfer RNA (tRNA) molecules are approximately 80 nucleotides in length. Their secondary structure includes four short double-helical elements and three loops (D, anti-codon, and T loops). Further hydrogen bonds mediate the characteristic L-shaped molecular structure. tRNAs have two regions of fundamental functional importance: the anti-codon, which is responsible for specific mRNA codon recognition, and the 3' end, to which the tRNAs corresponding amino acid is attached (by aminoacyl-tRNA synthetases). tRNAs cope with the degeneracy of the genetic code in two manners: having more than one tRNA (with a specific anti-codon) for a particular amino acid; and 'wobble' base-pairing, i.e. permitting non-standard base-pairing at the 3rd anti-codon position.
Source: RNAcentral